AGAGGUUUGAUCCUGGCUCAGAUUGAACGCUGGCGGCAUGCCUUACACAUGCAAGUCGAACGGCAGCACGGACUUCGGUCUGGUGGCGAGUGGCGAACGGGUGAGUAAUACAUCGGAACGUGUCCUGGAGUGGGGGAUAGCCCGGCGAAAGCCGGAUUAAUACCGCAUACGAUCUAUGGAUGAAAGCGGGGGAUCUUCGG
RNAcentral lists this ribosomal RNA (200 nucleotides) under uncultured bacterium. RNAcentral's name for it is "partial 16S ribosomal RNA". It matches the Rfam family "Bacterial small subunit ribosomal RNA", at positions 1 to 223 of the family's 1533-position model. The record is from RNAcentral.